UACGAGUGCCCCAAGCGUUAUCCGGAAUUCUUGGGCGUAAAGGGUGUGUAGGUGGUUUUGUUAGUCUUCUGUUCAAUUCUUCGGCUUAACCGGGGGUCUGCAAAAGAAACGGCAAAACUAGAGGAUGCGAGAGGUGUGCGGAACUCAUGGUGUAGGGGUGAAAUCCGUUGAUAUCAUGGGGAACACCGAAAGCGAAGGCAGCACACUGGCGCACUCCUGACACUGAAACACGAAAGCGUGGGUAGCGAAUGGG
RNAcentral lists this ribosomal RNA (253 nucleotides) under uncultured bacterium. Its description in RNAcentral is "partial 16S ribosomal RNA". It matches the Rfam family "Bacterial small subunit ribosomal RNA", at positions 524 to 776 of the family's 1533-position model. The record is from RNAcentral.